Molecule: ribosomal RNA, 2092 nt
Filed under: Salmonella enterica
Lineage: Bacteria; Pseudomonadati; Pseudomonadota; Gammaproteobacteria; Enterobacterales; Enterobacteriaceae
Also listed under: 1 other name
Description: partial 23S ribosomal RNA
Rfam family: Bacterial large subunit ribosomal RNA
Source: RNAcentral
UCUAGCCAUGGGCAGGUUGAAGGUUGGGUAACACUAACUGGAGGACCGAACCGACUAAUGUUGAAAAAUUAGCGGAUGACCUGUGGCUGGGGGUGAAAGGCCAAUCAAACCGGGAGAUAGCUGGUUCUCCCCGAAAGCUAUUUAGGUAGCGCCUCGUGAAUUCAUCUCCGGGGGUAGAGCACUGUUUCGGCUAGGGGGCCAUCCCGGCUUACCAACCCGAUGCAAACUGCGAAUACCGGAGAAUGUUAUCACGGGAGACACACGGCGGGUGCUAACGUCCGUCGUGAAGAGGGAAACAACCCAGACCGCCAGCUAAGGUCCCAAAGUCAUGGUUAAGUGGGAAACGAUGUGGGAAGGCCCAGACAGCCAGGAUGUUGGCUUAGAAGCAGCCAUCAUUUAAAGAAAGCGUAAUAGCUCACUGGUCGAGUCGGCCUGCGCGGAAGAUGUAACGGGGCUAAACCAUGCACCGAAGCUGCGGCAGCGACACUGUGUGUUGUUGGGUAGGGGAGCGUUCUGUAAGCCUGUGAAGGUGUGUCGUGAGGCAUGCUGGAGGUAUCAGAAGUGCGAAUGCUGACAUAAGUAACGAUAAAGCGGGUGAAAAGCCCGCUCGCCGGAAGACCAAGGGUUCCUGUCCAACGUUAAUCGGGGCAGGGUGAGUCGACCCCUAAGGCGAGGCCGAAAGGCGUAGUCGAUGGGAAACGGGUUAAUAUUCCCGUACUUGGUGUUACUGCGAAGGGGGGACGGAGAAGGCUAUGUUGGCCGGGCGACGGUUGUCCCGGUUUAAGCGUGUAGGUGUGUGUUCCAGGUAAAUCCGGUUCACUUUAACACUGAGGCGUGACGACGAGGCACUACGGUGCUGAAGCAACAAAUGCCCUGCUUCCAGGAAAAGCCUCUAAGCAUCAGGUAACAUCAAAUCGUACCCCAAACCGACACAGGUGGUCAGGUAGAGAAUACCAAGGCGCUUGAGAGAACUCGGGUGAAGGAACUAGGCAAAAUGGUGCCGUAACUUCGGGAGAAGGCACGCUGACACGUAGGUGAAGUGAUUUACUCAUGGAGCUGAAGUCAGUCGAAGAUACCAGCUGGCUGCAACUGUUUAUUAAAAACACAGCACUGUGCAAACACGAAAGUGGACGUAUACGGUGUGACGCCUGCCCGGUGCCGGAAGGUUAAUUGAUGGGGUCAGCGCAAGCGAAGCUCCUGAUCGAAGCCCCGGUAAACGGCGGCCGUAACUAUAACGGUCCUAAGGUAGCGAAAUUCCUUGUCGGGUAAGUUCCGACCUGCACGAAUGGCGUAAUGAUGGCCAGGCUGUCUCCACCCGAGACUCAGUGAAAUUGAACUCGCUGUGAAGAUGCAGUGUACCCGCGGCAAGACGGAAAGACCCCGUGAACCUUUACUAUAGCUUGACACUGAACAUUGAGCCUUGAUGUGUAGGAUAGGUGGGAGGCUUUGAAGUGUGGACGCCAGUCUGCAUGGAGCCGACCUUGAAAUACCACCCUUUAAUGUUUGAUGUUCUAACGUGGACCCGUUACCCGGGUUGCGGACAGUGUCUGGUGGGUAGUUUGACUGGGGCGGUCUCCUCCUAAAGAGUAACGGAGGAGCACGAAGGUUGGCUAAUCCUGGUCGGACAUCAGGAGGUUAGUGCAAUGGCAUAAGCCAGCUUGACUGCGAGCGUGACGGCGCGAGCAGGUGCGAAAGCAGGUCAUAGUGAUCCGGUGGUUCUGAAUGGAAGGGCCAUCGCUCAACGGAUAAAAGGUACUCCGGGGAUAACAGGCUGAUACCGCCCAAGAGUUCAUAUCGACGGCGGUGUUUGGCACCUCGAUGUCGGCUCAUCACAUCCUGGGGCUGAAGUAGGUCCCAAGGGUAUGGCUGUUCGCCAUUUAAAGUGGUACGCGAGCUGGGUUUAGAACGUCGUGAGACAGUUCGGUCCCUAUCUGCCGUGGGCGCUGGAGAACUGAGGGGGGCUGCUCCUAGUACGAGAGGACCGGAGUGGACGCAUCACUGGUGUUCGGGUUGUCAUGCCAAUGGCACUGCCCGGUAGCUAAAUGCGGAAGAGAUAAGUGCUGAAAGCAUCUAAGCACGAAACUUGCCCCGA